RNAcentral lists this ribosomal RNA (497 nucleotides) under uncultured bacterium. RNAcentral's name for it is "partial 16S ribosomal RNA". It matches the Rfam family "Bacterial small subunit ribosomal RNA", at positions 28 to 507 of the family's 1533-position model. The record is from RNAcentral.
GAUGAACGCUGGCGGCGUGCCUAAUACAUGCCAGUCGAGCGAACAGACGAGGAGCUUGCUCCUCUGACGUUAGCGGCGGACGGGUGAGUAACACGUGGAUAACCUACCUAUAAGACUGGGAUAACUUCGGGAAACCGGAGCUAAUGCCGGAUAAUAUAUUGAACCGCAUGGUUCAAUAGUGAAAGACGGUUUUGCUGUCACUUAUAGAUGGAUCCGCGCCGCAUUAGCUAGUUGGUAAGGUAACGGCUUACCAAGGCAACGAUGCGUAGCCGACCUGAGAGGGUGAUCGGCCACACUGGAACUGAGACACGGUCCAGACUCCUACGGGAGGCAGCAGUAGGGAAUCUUCCGCAAUGGGCGAAAGCCUGACGGAGCAACGCCGCGUGAGUGAUGAAGGUCUUCGGAUCGUAAAACUCUGUUAUUAGGGAAGAACAAAUGUGUAAGUAACUAUGCACGUCUUGACGGUACCUAAUCAGAAAGCCACGGCUAACUACGUG